AGUGAACGCUGGCGGUAGGCCUAACACAUGCAAGUCGAACGGCAGCACAGUAAGAGCUUGCUCUUACGGGUGGCGAGUGGCGGACGGGUGAGGAAUACAUCGGAAUCUACUUUUUCGUGGGGGAUAACGUAGGGACACUUACGCUAAUGCCGCAUACGACCUACGGGUUAAAGCAGGGGAUCUUCGGACCUUGCGCGAUUGAAUGAGCCGAUGUCGGAUUAGCUAGUUGGCGAGGUAAAGGCCCACCAAGGCGACGAUCCGUAGCUGACCUGAGAGGAGGAGCGGCCAAACUGGAACUGAGAAGAGGACCAGACGCAGACGGGAGGCAGGAGGAGGGAAUGUGACGCAAGGGGCGAAAGCCUGACGGCGCAACGCCGCGGGAGUGAAGAAGGUCUUCGGAUCGUAAAACUCUGUGAGGAGGGAAGAAAAUAAGGGUAAGUAACUGUGCACAUCGUGACGGGACCAAAGCAGAAAGCCACGGAGAACUACGU
This 491-nucleotide ribosomal RNA is filed under the name uncultured bacterium. Its description in RNAcentral is "partial 16S ribosomal RNA". It matches the Rfam family "Bacterial small subunit ribosomal RNA", at positions 30 to 506 of the family's 1533-position model. The record is from RNAcentral.